Molecule: ribosomal RNA, 204 nt
Filed under: uncultured bacterium
Lineage: Bacteria
Description: partial 16S ribosomal RNA
Rfam family: Bacterial small subunit ribosomal RNA
Source: RNAcentral
UAGGCUGCAACUCGCCUACACGAAGCUGGAAUCGCUAGUAAUCGCGGAUCAGCACGCCGCGGUGAAUACGUUCCCGGGCCUUGUACACACCGCCCGUCACACCAUGGAAGUCUGCAAUGCCCGAAGCCGGUGGCCUAACCACUUAUGUGGAAGGAGCCGUCUAAGGCAGGGCAGAUGACUGGGGUGAAGUCGUAACAAGGUAAC